RNAcentral lists this transfer RNA (72 nucleotides) under Camelus bactrianus (Bactrian camel). It matches the Rfam family "tRNA". From Rfam's summary of the family: Transfer RNA (tRNA) molecules are approximately 80 nucleotides in length. Their secondary structure includes four short double-helical elements and three loops (D, anti-codon, and T loops). The record is from Rfam by way of RNAcentral. Lineage: Eukaryota; Metazoa; Chordata; Mammalia; Artiodactyla; Camelidae. RNAcentral also lists the same sequence under 2 other names.
GGGUACACAGCUCAGUGGUAGAGCACAUGCUUAGCAUGCAUGAGGUCCUGGGUUCCAUCCCCAGUAUCUCUA